RNAcentral lists this long non-coding RNA (246 nucleotides) under Sus scrofa (pig). Its description in RNAcentral is "lncRNA (ENSSSCG00055029060.1)". The record is from RNAcentral. Lineage: Eukaryota; Metazoa; Chordata; Mammalia; Artiodactyla; Suidae.
AUGCAGGCGUGUGGAGCUCCGGAGUGGAGCUGGCGUGGCCAGAUCAACGGGGCAGAGGCCUGAGACGGAGAAAGGAGUGCUGGCCCCGCAGCGAGCUGAGAGCUGACGGUGGCUACAACAGGGCUUCCCCGGCCGAACCGGAACCGGGCGUCCAGAGCCUGGGAGCCGGACCAGCCACUGGUGAGUGAUCUGAAUGUGUGACUCAAUGCCCUUUAUCCCCCAAACCAGUGCGGCUCUACCCGCCCC